Molecule: microRNA, 22 nt
Filed under: Oreochromis niloticus (Nile tilapia)
Lineage: Eukaryota; Metazoa; Chordata; Actinopteri; Cichliformes; Cichlidae
Description: oni-miR-10840
Source: miRBase by way of RNAcentral
AAUGAGCUCAUUUUGAGAACUU